RNAcentral lists this unclassified non-coding RNA (1425 nucleotides) under uncultured Neocallimastigales. RNAcentral's name for it is "partial contains small subunit ribosomal RNA, internal transcribed spacer 1, 5.8S ribosomal RNA, internal transcribed spacer 2, and large subunit ribosomal RNA". The stretch from base 651 to 1425 matches the Rfam family "Eukaryotic large subunit ribosomal RNA", at positions 1 to 628 of the family's 3401-position model. The record is from RNAcentral. Lineage: Eukaryota; Fungi; Neocallimastigomycota; Neocallimastigomycetes; Neocallimastigales.
UUUCCGUAGGUGAACCUGCGGAAGGAUCAUUAAAAAAUUGGACUCCAUUGGUGAGUUCAUUAAUAAUCCCUACCCUUUGUGAAUUUGUUUGUUUGAAUAAUUUUUUUUCCAAAAAAAAUUAUUGAAUGUCUUUCCUUGUUUUGGUGGAGCUUGUAAAGUGAAACCAGGCAGGGGAAUGGCAAACAAUAAUUAUUUUGAAAAAGACCUUUUUUAAAAUUAAACUUUUUGUAUUCAUUUGUCUAAAAUUAAUUUUUAUAAUAUAAAACAACUUUUGACAAUGGAUCUCUUGGUUCUCGCAACGAUGAAGAACGCAGCAAAAUGCGAUAAGUAGUGUGAAUUGCAGAAUACGUGAAUCAUCGAAUCUUCGAACGCAUAUUGCACUUUUUUAGUUUACUAAAAAGUAUGUCUGUUUGAGUAUCAGUAAAUAUUCUCAUAAAAAACAUUGUUUUUUUUAUGGUUAUGAGUGUUUACAACGAUAACAAGUUGUUUCACUUUAAACUCUUUGUUAUCAAAAAAUCAUUAAAGCUAAUUUUAAAGAUUUUUAAAAUUGGAUAAAAUUUCCCGUAAAAAGGAAUAACCUAAACAAUUUUAAAAAAUUAAAAUUGGUUUGAUUUUUUUGAAACCCAAAGGAAAAAAAAACGAAAUUAACUUGAUCUCAAAUCAGAUAAGAGUACCCGCUGAACUUAAGCAUAUCAAUAAGCGGAGGAAAAGAAACUAACUAGGAUUCCCUCAGUAACGGCGAGUGAAGCGGGAGGAGCUCAAUUUGAAAUCUUCAAGGUUUUACCUUGACGAAUUGUAGUUUAAAGAAGUGUUUUCUGUUGGAGUUUUGGUAAAAGUUCUUUGGAAAAGGACAUCAUAGAGGGUGAGAAUCCCGUAUUUGACCAUUAUCUCCAGCUUUGUGAUACACUUUCAAAGAGUCGGAUUGUUUGGGAAUGCAGUCCAAAAUGGGUGGUAAAUUUCAUCUAAAGCUAAAUACUGGCGAGAGACCGAUAGCGAACAAGUACCGUGAGGGAAAGAUGAAAAGAACUUUGAAAAGAGAGUUAAACAGUACGUGAAAUUGUCAAAAGGGAAGCGUUUGACACCAGUGUUGUUUUCUCGAAAAUCAAUUAAAAAAGGCCGGAUUUUGUGUUGUAUUGACUUUAUCAGCUUUCUGCACUCUUUUCUUGUCUUUUUUAAUGCACUUUUCGUUUAACAAGUCAACAUCAAUUUCUUUUGUUGUAAAAGGGUCAUUGGAAGGUGGCUUUCUUUCGGAGAAAGUGUUUAUAGCCUUUGGCCUCUGCAAUCGGAGAGAUUGAGGUCUGCAGCGUAGAUCCUUCGGGUUAGAUACAUUUGUGCUAAGUUAUAGCCUUUCAUAGACAACUUGUUGACUAUGAUCAGUCAUGUAGCUUACUCGCUUAUGCUAUUUUACCUACGCUUAGGAUGUUG